Nomascus leucogenys (northern white-cheeked gibbon) is the source of this 2084-nucleotide long non-coding RNA. RefSeq lists it as uncharacterized. The record is from RefSeq and is a predicted model, not a curated record. The transcript has 2 exons. Lineage: Eukaryota; Metazoa; Chordata; Mammalia; Primates; Hylobatidae.
UUCUAUCACUUCAAUAAAUUUAAUUUUCUUGUCUUGUUUUAGGUCUCUAGAAAUGUAAAACAUGUGACAGUAUUUGAAAUAUUAGGAGUUUGGCAAUUGCAUUGUACAAUCAAGUAGUGUGAUUGAACCCUUUGGAAGUACAAUCUCCCACUCUCAAUCUGUGCUACUUAAAGAAGAAACGUUCUGAAUAUUAAGGACAAAUAAAUUCUCAUUUCCUGUAUUCUAUCGGUUUCUCAGAAUUGUGCUUCAGUUUAGUUUGUUUCAUAUGAGGAUCAUGGCUCAUUAUUCAAUGUUGUGGUUUUUCUUGAAUUCUCUUAUUGCCUUUCAUUUACCUUGUUAACUAAGAUAUACACUGGCCAUUUUAUUUUUAGAUCAUCGUGCCUUUUCAUCAUACCACUUAACAUAGGAAGGUGACUGUCUUCUUAAAGACUGUCUCUGGUAGCUCACUAAGUUCCUUUUUCUAAUUUGAAUUUAUUGCCUUCUAUGUCUGCUGCUGAGCUAUGAUUCUGGGAUUUAAUUUCAUUGCUCUAUUGGCUAAAUUUGCAGUUUCUUACAUGCCAAGUAUUUCCCUUUCACCAAACACAAUAAUUUAUUGAAUUAUAUUCUGUAGUAACUUUUAAAAAAACAUACACAAGAGAAAUAAACUUUCUGAAGCUUUGCAUGUCUGAAAAUGGCCUUAUUUUCCAUUUACACUCGACUGGCACAUUUUAAUUUUCCAAGAAACAUUAGAUAUCUAUAAUAGCCUUUUAUGCUAUAAAUGCACAUUAGUAUGUCUAUACCCUGUGGAAAUUAAAAUCCAAGUGAAUCAGUAAUUACACAGUUAUGGGAUGAAAUAAAUUCUUGGACUUCUCCCCAUUAGAGUCCCCACAGUGAAGCAAUAUUCUACACUUUACCUUUAGCCACUGUUUUGUACCAGUUGGGAAAUCAAAACUUUCAUUAAACCAGCCUUCCUGGUAGAUACUUGGAAGAAUUACAACACUCUUUAGCAUGUUUAGAAAUGUCCUUAUUCCUGCCCACAUUUUACAGAGACAUAAUCACGUGGUAGGUGCCUUUGGGACUUUUGAAAUACAUUCUGUGAACAAGAAGAAAUGCAAACAUGUUGGCAAAACUGAUUAUUUUCAUUGUGGAUCUCAUGCUUGCUUUGGCCAUUUUUGUUAUCUUUUAUUUAAUGGCUGCCACUGGUAUUUUCAUCGCGGUCAUUUUCUAUAUUUUCAAAGGGGAGAUGGAAAAAAACUUUGACUUCAGCAAGCGCCGAAUCUGGGCGCUGGAUUCUAGCAAUGCUACUGAGGAGCCUUUGGCAGGUGGCGCAGAGAAAGUCAGCUCCAAGCUCCUUCCUGUCCAUUUUCCAGCUGUAGGAGAAGGGUCUUUCCUGCCCAAGGAGAGUGGUCCCGUCUUCUAAAGAGCGAGGAGCUCUCUGAGGUGGAGGAGGCAUGUGAAGACUUCCCAGAACACUGCACCCGCCUGACUGAGAGGUACUUUUUAAGGUCAUUCAAACUGUCAUCUACACAUGAAUAACAAUGAAAUUCUCAUAAAGAAGCAGAAAUACCCAGGAGGCAUGAAGAGUCAUCAUGCUUCAAAAGUGCAUGUAUUAGUACUUCAUGACUUCAGGAAAAGUAGACCCCAUAAUUCUUAAAAGCUCAACCUUGGAGAGGAGAAACAUGCUGUUUGAUGACAUAGCACUGAAACUUGUUGAAAUAUCCUUGGAGCUUGAGAUGUCGAGAGCCAUCAAAAUGCUCUCAAGAAUUAAAUUGAAAAAUGUUGCUUCAAAAUGUCUUAGCCAACCAAAUACAAACAUUUUUGUCAUUGUGACAAAAAAAAAGCUCGCCAAUUGCCUUUGCUAGUCUCAGCACAGCCCAAGAGGAGCAUCCUUCAUGAGCCAACUGAAAAACAGUGUGUCGUCUAUGCUUCUGACCAGAGGGGCAUCUCUUGUCACCAUAACAUUAUGUAUUAGGACUUCAUGUAUUAUGUAUUAUGUCAACACUUUAUUCAUUAUGCUGAUCAUACUCUGUAUUUCACUUGCUCUGGUUAUUCGUAAAGCUUUUCCUAUUUCAUCAUUAGAUUAUCCUUAAAUUUUAGCAACUGCA